AGAGUUUGAUCAUGGCUCAGGACGAACGCUGGCGGCGUGCUUAACACAUGCAAGUCGAGCGGAAAGGCUCCUUCGGGAGUACUCGAGCGGCGAACGGGUGAGUAACACGUGGGUAAUCUGCCCAGGACACAGGAAUAACCAGUGGAAACGCUGGCUAAUGCCUGAUGACGUGCCAACCCCUCGGGGGAGGUACCAAAGGUAGCUUCGGCCUCCGGUCUUGGAUGAGCCCGCGGCCCAUUAGCUUGUUGGCGGGGUAACGGCCCACCAAGGCGACGAUGGGUAGCUGGUCUGAGAGGACGAUCAGCCACACUGGGACUGAGACACGGCCCAGACUCCUACGGGAGGCAGCAGUGGGGAAUCUUGCGCAAUGGGCGAAAGCCUGACGCAGCAACGCCGCGUGCGGGAAGAAGGUCUUAGGGUUGUAAACCGCUUUCAGUAGGGACGAAGGCAAGUAGGUUAAUAGCCUGCGAGUUGACGGUACCUACAGAAGAAGGUCCGGCUAACUACGUGCCAGCAGCCGCGGUAAUACGUAGGGACCGAGCGUUGUCCGGAAUCAUUGGGCGUAAAGAGCGUGUAGGCGGCCAACUAAGUCCUGCGUGAAAUCUCGGGGCUCAACCCCGAGCGGUCGUGGGAAACUGGUUGGCUAGAGUGCGGGAGAGGAGAGUGGAAUUCCUGGUGUAGCGGUGAAAUGCGCAGAUAUCAGGAAGAACACCCGUGGCGAAGGCGGCUCUCUGGAACGCAACUGACGCUGAGACGCGAAAGCGUGGGGAGCAAACAGGAUUAGAUACCCUAGUAGUCC
RNAcentral lists this ribosomal RNA (799 nucleotides) under uncultured bacterium. RNAcentral describes it as "bacterial SSU rRNA". It matches the Rfam family "Bacterial small subunit ribosomal RNA", at positions 8 to 796 of the family's 1533-position model. The record is from RNAcentral.